This 366-nucleotide ribosomal RNA is filed under the name Triticum aestivum (bread wheat). RNAcentral's name for it is "partial small subunit ribosomal RNA". The record is from RNAcentral. Lineage: Eukaryota; Viridiplantae; Streptophyta; Magnoliopsida; Poales; Poaceae.
AUGAUUCUUAACAGAGGAAUGGGUGUGAAGCUCAAGACCCCAUUUAAUGGAGCCGUCUAUGAUGCAUGCGAUGAGAUUCAAGAUUUAUUUCUGUACAUAGCAGUGAUUAGUGGAUUACUGUCACACGCUCCUGUUGUCAUCCAUGUCUCCUCAGGUGCCUUAGUGAAUUUCUGGCGUACAUGUGAAUAUCUCAUGGAUAUACAAUCAGUACACUCACCUGAACGAGGAUGGCGGCGAGCAGAGCGGGGUUGCGUCUUGUCCUUCUUGCGUCGAAGGUCCGGUGCACCUUUGGUGUGCCUUUGCUGGUUUCUGACUGUCACAAAGAAGUCGGAGCUGCGGACGGCGAGGCCACUGCGGCAACGAUGA